Molecule: transfer RNA, 75 nt
Filed under: Phaeoacremonium minimum UCRPA7
Lineage: Eukaryota; Fungi; Ascomycota; Sordariomycetes; Togniniales; Togniniaceae
Description: tRNA-Val (AAC) (tRNA-Val-AAC-2-1)
Source: RNAcentral
GGUCUGGUGGUGUAGUUGGUUUAUCACGUCAGUCUAACACACUGAAGGUCCCCGGUUCAAGCCCGGGCUAGAUCA